UACGGAGGGGGCUAGCGUUGUUCGGAAUUACUGGGCGUAAAGCGCGCGUAGGCGGACCUGUAAGUCGGGGGUGAAAGCCCGAGGCUCAGCCUCGGAACUGCCUUCGAUACUGCGGGUCUCGAGUCCGGGAGAGGUGAGUGGAAUUCCUAGUGUAGAGGUGAAAUUCGUAGAUAUUAGGAAGAACACCAGUGGCGAAGGCGGCUCACUGGCCCGGUACUGACGCUGAGGCGCGAAAGCGUGGGGAGCAAACAGG
RNAcentral lists this ribosomal RNA (253 nucleotides) under uncultured bacterium. Its description in RNAcentral is "partial 16S ribosomal RNA". It matches the Rfam family "Bacterial small subunit ribosomal RNA", at positions 524 to 776 of the family's 1533-position model. The record is from RNAcentral.